Long non-coding RNA from Perognathus longimembris pacificus (Pacific pocket mouse), 784 nucleotides. RefSeq lists it as uncharacterized. The transcript is spliced from 3 exons. The record is from RefSeq and is a predicted model, not a curated record. NCBI's taxonomy places the organism in Eukaryota, Metazoa, Chordata, Mammalia, Rodentia, Heteromyidae.
CUUAUUUUUUUUAAUGUUUUUUGUUGUGCUGAGGCUUGAACUUGAGACCCUGUAAAUGCUAGGAAAGCAUUCCAUCAUUGUGCUACAAAACCCAGCCCUUGGAUACUCUAUUCUUAACUCAUGGAGAAACCCAGAAUCAUAUGUGAUUUAGAGUUUUAUGCUUUAUUGACUCCUCCUUUAGUGCAGUUUUCCUGAUGAUCAGAAUAUUGCUAACAUUCACAAGAAAAGCACCUGUUUGAUGAGAAAUAAUAUCUCCACAGCAUUGAUGUUAACCAUGUAGGCAAACAUCAGGACUCCUGCCAGACAAAGAAAUACUAAAAGGGCAUUCAACACAAUCAGAUGAAGCUUAGUACCUCAGCUAAAUUGAGAGCAGAAUCUAUGGGCAGAAACUUUAUCUUUUCUUACAUUUUGUCCAUGUCGGUUACUUGACAUAUUAAUGUGACAUAUUAACAUAUUAAUGUUCCCAGACCUAAGGGAGUCUGCGUCCUGGAUUAUUGCUUCUGUAGCCUCAGAUAUAAUUACAUUUUCUAGAGAGAUGGAUAGUUUUCAUUUUUGUUGUUGUUGCAAGCUUGUCCACCUGUCCAGGGUAGCUAAUGUUGCUAAAUAUGAUUUAUUGAUUGGAGAAUGAAUGAAAAUAUGUGUUUAUGGCUUAAAUUACCCAUCAUGUCAGGGCAUUUUUUUUGCUAUGUAAAAUUAUUCUAAUGAAACAAGUCAUUUGGGUUUCAUCACUCUUUUAUUCUUCAGUGGACUGUCCUGAAGAAUUUUUUUGAGGGGUAAGGGUUAU